UAUCCAUUGAAAUAAUCAGUGUGUUAACGUGUCACGCCUGGGCAUUAUACAUGUUAAUCCCUUAGUCAUGCAUUUGGGAGCACUUCCCUCCCCAGAUAGUCUACUCAGGGAGACAAGUAUGGGCAAAAAGUUGUGGCAAGGAGAAUGUCAUGAAAAAUAGAAUCUGAGUGAAACUGUUUCUUGAGUUUUGCUUUCAAAGAUACCCAUCCAUAACUGACACUUGGGACAGCACCAUUUUACAAAAUUAAAGAUUAAUAAUGUUUUCUCAGUUUUGUGUUCUUAAAAACUUCUACGUGAUUGCCUCUCAGGGGAUUUAAUGUUUUUCUUUUUGACAUGCAUCUUUAUCGUUUUGGUGGCUUAUAUAGGAAGGUAAACUCCAACAAUAAUUUACUGAUGGUGUUCCCAGUUUUGCCCUUGCAUGAGUCAUACAAAUACUGGGCUGUGUGUGAAGUUCUUUAAAACUAUAUAAUUAAUAAAUUAUCUCAUUUCACAAGCAUUCUCUCCACUAGUUUGUGUGCAUAGCAUCUUACUAUGACUACAGUUUAUAUGCCUGUCCAUUUCCUUUUUCCAGGAAAAAAAGUCAUGUAAAAAAAGGAUUUCAGAAGCUUUACCCCCCCCACCCUUAUUACCUUUAUGAUUUUUGUUUCUUCAGUAAUUAUUGUUUUCUUUACAUUCAGUCAUUUUAGAAGAACCAUUAAAGACUCAUGAACAAUAAUAAGGCCAGUGCAUAUCCUGCCUUUGCUGAUUAUAAAUUUUUAAAUAUCUGGCAAACAGAGAGUUAAUUAAA
Molecule: long non-coding RNA, 787 nt
Filed under: Bos taurus (domestic cattle)
Lineage: Eukaryota; Metazoa; Chordata; Mammalia; Artiodactyla; Bovidae
Description: long non-coding RNA NONBTAT007279
Source: RNAcentral